CCAACAUUUGAAAAGAAUACCGUUUGCGUUGCGUUGCAGUUUAUUGAGCUCGAUCGAGAAGUGGGACGAAGAAGGCCGUUAAUAAUUCAACUACUUAAAGAAUGCGGGUUAGAUGUGGACGACUUCGAAGACAUUUGCAGUAGGCUAAACAGAGAAAGAGAGGGAGACCCAAAACUACUUGUCCUGGCAUCACAUUUGAGGAGGAGAUGAAGUCGGUGAAUAUGACCUAGCCCGGGGGAGUUUCCAGAAGACGGCCCAGAACCACUGGCCGCCAGGAGUGGAGGUCCUUUGUUGUUGCUCUACAUGUCAGGAGGCAUCGGGCAGUAGCCCUGGUAGAAGCACCAUCUUGAUACCAUCAUUCAAACUCUCAUCAGCUGUAUCAUUAUAGGUGGACUAAAAGAACAAUAUUCAUGCAGAUAUAAUGAUGCCUUAAGUUGAAAUGGAAGGUGUCCUGAAUCUGCACCCAUUCAUCUGGUUUCGUAACUCCUUUCAUAGUGCUAUUGGAACCUGCUCCCUACCAGUAUAACAUCAAACAGAUUGGAAGAAUAAAGGCCAAUGGGAAGUGCCUUUUAUAUUUCUACUUGCCACAAAGCAGUCCAUGGUUUAGCGCUAUCUAAACUGGACUAUUGUAAUGCUCUUCGUGCUUGAAUUAGGGCGAUCUGGACUGACUGCAUAUAGUACAGAAUGCUGCAUCUAUUGUGCCAUUUGCCAUACGCCAACUUCGCUGGCUGCAAGUCAAGGAAAGGAUAUACAUGAACAUCAGUGUCCGUCUCCUGAUUUUCAAAGUCAUUGACAGAGAUCCAGAUUACAUGUUUUAUAAGGAAUCCCUUGUGCGUCAUUUUCAUUCUAGGCGCACUUGCCUUUUUAUUUUUGUGAUCAUUACGCACCUACGAAUUAGCUACUGGUGAUGCAACUUUCUCCACUACUGCUCCAAGGCCGUGGAAUUAGCUCCUUCCUCUCCUCCAGUUGUCAACAACCUUGGAUCAAUCCAAAUACAAUUUGAGAAGACCUACCAUCCUGAUCUUUGCUCUGUACUUACAACAAUACUGUCACUGUCUGGUAAUUUGAAUUUUUUUAAAUCUCAUGCGCUUUGUAUCUCGCAAAAUAACGUGUUGUGUAAAAGCGAACAUGCAUUGAGGUCAAGUUUAAGGGUAACCAUGGAUAUUGCCUUUUAUUACUUUUUAACAAAACUGAAAAAUUCAUCCAAAUUAGACAAGGGAUAAUAAAGUAAUGUAUGACAUUCUAACCUCUGCAUUAUUUUGGUGAAAGAGCUCUAAGCAUAUAUGCAAGUAGCAAGCUGAUGAUGUCAUACUGACGUACAUUGUACAUGUACACGUAUCCCCAACUUAUUAUUUUGUAUAUAAAAUUGUGCAUUUAAUUUUGUUUACCAAGAAUGAAACAAAUCAGAUUGUAAACUGUAUUGAUGUGACUUACCUGUAUUGAUUAUUGCUGGAAGUUCUUUUGCUACAUGGGAUUGGAAGACAUACUUAUUACACACAUGAAGUAAAUUAUUAUUUUAUCUGGUAACAUGAGAACAAUAAAAAUGUGGGCAUGAUAUCAUAAACUUACAUGUAUCUACUUGCAUGUGUUGAUGACCAAUAUUUUUUUAAUUAUUUUUUUUUAAAUUUUAUCUGAUUUUGAUAAAGUUUUCACUAUUUUGCAUGGUAAAAAUUACUUUAUUUUAGAUUAUGUUGAGCCCGUAUCAUAUACAAGUACAACUUUAAAGAUAAAUUACCAGUUGUAGUAACAAUCUUAAAAUGAGUUCGAACAGAAUCCAAUAGAAUUACCAGCAAAAUAUAAAAGACAUGUGCCAUAAUUAAUUAUAGCUCGGGAAGAAAAUGUGUAAUUGCUGAGAAAUGACCAAAAUAAGCAUGUAAUUCUAUCCAAUGUCAGGUAUUUUUCAAAUCAAUCAUAAUACACUGUCCUGUCCCACAUGUUCUUUUCUGUGUUAGUGAUCAUCAAAAUAAUUAAUUUUAAGUUCAAAAUGAGUGAUUUUACAAAAAUACAAGCUUACAUUAAUGUACCAGAUCUAGAGAUUAUGUACAAUAUUUUGACAAUUUCUCAUGAAAUAAUUGUUUGCUGCAACUGCUGUCUUUUUAAUACGUUUAAGUGAUAGUGUAAUACAACCACAAACUUUUCUUAAGAAUUAAUGUACAUGUAUGAUUCUUUCACCCAAAUUUACAUGCAUUGAUACUGUUGACUACUUGCCAAAAGUUCCUGCCAAAAGCCUUUUUUAACGAUGUACAUGCUUUUAUAGACGACCUGCCAAAACAUUGUAUUGUAUUAUAUUCAAGGUCCAACCAAAAAGAGAUGAAUAAAAUGUUUGAAGGAAAUUGAAAUUAACUUUAAAAAUGAUAGAGCUCUGUCAAUGCAGUAUUAUUACAGGGUUCCCACAGUCAUGGAAAAUCCUGGAAAAAAAUUGGUCAUGGAAAGUCAGGGAUAUGUGAAAAGUCAUGGAAUUGCAUUUACCUCUUGGCUAUGACAGCUUUCUAGUUUUUUAUGUCUCACAACUCUCAUACUCUGUGAUUGUACUCUACUAUUAUAAUUGGUGUUCAUGAUCAUAACAUGUCUGAUUUUGAAAACUGUGCCAGAAAGGAAUUAAGUCAUGGAAAGCAGCAAUUUAGUCAUGGAGAGGUCAUGGAAUUCUGUUUUCAAAUUUCUGUGGGAACCAUGAAUAGGUUUGUGCACUUGACACAGUGUGCACUACAGAUGAACUUUGUAAUGCCAUGAUAUAAACCAGUACAAUAUCUUAAAGGAAAAUAAAACCCAAAAUAUAAUACCACAUGAUACCAUUGAUAAAUACAGGACAAUGAAAAUGAAUCCACUCAUAUACCCCCAAUCCGAUGUCCCAGUAUGGAGUACCACCUUUUCAAAGUUGGCAUCUUCUGGUACAAAGUCUAUGGAUGGGGAUUAUUCCGUCAGCGACGAACUACAUCUCUAAACGUUUGGGCAUUAUAUAUUCUAUUUCAUCGAUAAUAAAUCAAAUGUACAGAUAAAACUCAUAAAAUAUUAAUUAAAAUUUGUUUAAUAUUAUAUGAUAGGUUCAAAUUACGACUUGAUGAGUUUUAAUGAUAAAAAUUACACCCUAAUCUACGAUUUACAAAUUGGCAGCGGAAAUUGGGGUGUAAAUCUUAUCAUUAAAACUCAUCAAAUUGUAUUUUGAACCUACCAUAUAUUAAACAAAUUUUAACUAAUAUUUUUAUGAGUUUUAUCUGUACAUUUGAUUUGUUAUUGAUAAAAUAGAAUAUAUAAUGCCUAAACGUUUAGAGAUGUAGUUCGUCGCUGAUGUAAUAAUUUCCUAACUAACCCCGCGAAAAUGGCGACCUCCAUCCAGAAACUUCGAACCAUACUGUAAGAGGCCAACUUUGAAAAGGUGGUACUCCGUAAUUGGAUUAGGGUAUGAGUGGAUUCAUGUUGAUUGUCCUGUAUUUAUCAAUAAUAUCAUGUGGUAUUAUGUUUUGGGUGUUAUUUUCCUUUAAUUCAGAUAUUACAUGCCAGGGUAUUGUCCUAGUUUUCAUUUUCUCCAAAUACAUAUUAUCAUCUCUCGUCUAUUUCUACUUGCCCUCCAGCCUUGAAGUAAACUUGGGAUAAUUAUGCAUUUUGUUAUACGCAAUUUUGAGUACAGUGCACUUUGCCGCAGCUACUUAUAUGAUAUUACCUAUUGUAGACACAUCCUUAUGUUUUGUUCAUUUUCUUAAAAACGAUUAAGAGUUUAAUCAUUUUUGUCUUUAAGCAUAAAACAAAGAGUAAAUCAGUCCAUUCUGUAUGUGUGACCUGCAAAAAAACUACAAUGGUCGUUAAUUUGGUUUGCUGAAAAGCCAGAUAACCUUUGAGGUAACUUUUUAAAGUAUUUAGAAGAAAUGUAUCUUUUUUAAAAGUAUUUAUAUGCACUGUAACUAAUUUCUUUGAUAGUUACUAUUAUGUUACACUGUUUGUACAGUAAAGCAGCUGUUACACAAUUUUUGUCAAUAGCAAAUCUAAACCAGUAUUGUAAAUUGAUGACUCUAUGAGCUAAAUACCAGUACUUUCUAUAUCA
Long non-coding RNA from Lytechinus pictus (painted urchin), 4036 nucleotides. RefSeq lists it as uncharacterized. NCBI's taxonomy places the organism in Eukaryota, Metazoa, Echinodermata, Echinoidea, Temnopleuroida, Toxopneustidae. The transcript has 4 exons. The record is from RefSeq and is a predicted model, not a curated record.